AGUGAACGCUGGCGGUAGGCCUAACACAUGCAAGUCGAACGGCAGCACAGUAAGAGCUUGCUCUUACGGGUGGCGAGUGGCGGACGGGUGAGGAAUACAUCGGAAUCUACUUUUUCGUGGGGGAUAACGUAGGGAAACUUACGCUAAUACCGCAUACGACCUACGGGUGAAAGCAGGGGAUCUUCGGACCUUGCGCGAUUGAAUGAGCCGAUGUCGGAUUAGCUAGUUGGCGGGGUAAAGGCCCACCAAGGCGACGAUCCGUAGCUGGUCUGAGAGGAUGAUCAGCCACACUGGAACUGAGACACGGUCCAGACUCCUACGGGAGGCAGCAGUGGGGAAUAUUGGACAAUGGGCGCAAGCCUGAUCCAGCCAUACCGCGUGGGUGAAGAAGGCCUUCGGGUUGUAAAGCCCUUUUGUUGGGAAAGAAAAGCAGCAGGUUAAUACCCCGCUGUUCUGACGGUACCCAAAGAAUAGGCACCGGCUAACUUCGU
This 491-nucleotide ribosomal RNA is filed under the name uncultured bacterium. RNAcentral describes it as "partial 16S ribosomal RNA". It matches the Rfam family "Bacterial small subunit ribosomal RNA", at positions 29 to 506 of the family's 1533-position model. The record is from RNAcentral.